RNAcentral lists this ribosomal RNA (301 nucleotides) under uncultured bacterium. Its description in RNAcentral is "partial 16S ribosomal RNA". It matches the Rfam family "Bacterial small subunit ribosomal RNA", at positions 509 to 809 of the family's 1533-position model. The record is from RNAcentral.
CAGUCGCCACGGUAAUACAGAGGAUGCAAGCGUUAUCCGGAAUGAUUGGGCGCAAAGCGUCUGUAGGUGGCUUUUCAAGUCCACCGUCAAAUCCCCGGGCUCAACCCUGGACAAGCAGUGGAAACUACCAAGCUGGAGUACGGUAGGGGUAGAGGGAAUUUCCGGUGGAGCGGUGAAAUGUGUUGAGAUCGGAAAGAACACCAACGACGAAAGCACUCUGCUGGGCCGACACUGAUACUGAGAGACGAAAGCUAGGGGAGCAAAUGGGAUUAGAGACCCGCGUAGUCCCUGUCUCUUAUAU